RNAcentral lists this long non-coding RNA (1248 nucleotides) under Capsella grandiflora. Its description in RNAcentral is "long non-coding RNA (CGRA_LNC001106)". Lineage: Eukaryota; Viridiplantae; Streptophyta; Magnoliopsida; Brassicales; Brassicaceae. The record is from RNAcentral.
GUUAAAGCUGGUGCCAUACCGUACUGGCGUAUGAACAUUAUCAGAACCCAGAAGCAUCUUCUCAUCAACAGGUAAGUCAAAGAACCUUGUAGCUGCAUCAAGCGCAUCUUUCACCACCGAUGAUGAUAUUCCAUGGUUUAUAAUCUGUAGAUACAUAAGUUUGGAUCUGAGUUCUGUACUGAAAUAAUGCAAAUGAUACAAUAGAGUAGUGUGUUUUAAAUGAAACCGAGAUACUGACAUUUCAUAAAGUUAGAAGAUAAGCAUCUUCACAUGUCUAUUUUUCUUAUUGUCAAUAAAGACAGUAACUAAGGACUUUGUUCUUUUUCUGAUUAGGGACUUUGUUGAGUAUGAUAUAAAUGCAAAAAGACAAGAACUGCCUUUCUCAUAGAGUCAUAUAUCAGUGUGACUACUAGAUGCUACACGUACAUUCCAGACUAGUCUUAGUGAGCCGAGGAAUGAAACACAUGACUGAAUUUAAUGAACUGAGAAAUGUAGACACAUGAAUAAGACACUUAAGCACCAAACUUCUUAUUCAUUUGGGAUAGUAAUAAUGGUUGAAACAGAGUUACAUGACUUGUAAUGUGAAUGUAGCCAAAAAGAGUAUAGCAUUACCUGAAAAAAACCAAAUCCUUUGCAGGCCAUUUCAAUCUCAUGGAUUACACAGGGUCUAAGCAAAGGAUCGUGUAAGAGGGAGAGAUCAAUGAAAGGAAGUGUGAUGGUAUCAGUGCCACUGCUUGAACCGAGCAUUGGUCGUUGUGAAGGUGGAAGAAUGUAACGGGUAGGCACGCGAAGGACACCUGACUCGGUAAGUGCCAUGGCACUAGUAAAGCAAUCAUCAAGUACACUCUUAUUUGUUUCCUCCAUUGGUUUCUCAAGAAUCUGUUUUGGUACUUGAGGUUAUGUGUGUUGAUCCCACCGUGUACUAAGUUAUAGUAAGCAAGCAUGCCAAACCCAUUUUUAUAUAGCCAUGAAGAUUAGAUAACCUGGUCUUAAAAAAAGGUCAGCAUUACUACUUUUCUCUUUGAAUACGGUUUUGGAAACUACCUGCUUUGUGUUCAUAUACAUAUGCUAUAAAUGAAUGGUUAGAUCACUAGUCCAAAUAAAGAAUCCCCAUUUGCUUAUGGAUAGGCCACGUUGGAUUGAAAGGUAUCUGUGAAGGGUGGAUGACUAGUUGCAUGUUUUGCUUUUGGGAUAUUUUAUGAAGAAAAAAGAGUCAUCAUCAUAUGCUAUUGAUAACACUAUUCUAUG